RNAcentral lists this transfer RNA (75 nucleotides) under bacterium. Its description in RNAcentral is "tRNA-Glu". It matches the Rfam family "tRNA". From Rfam's summary of the family: Transfer RNA (tRNA) molecules are approximately 80 nucleotides in length. Their secondary structure includes four short double-helical elements and three loops (D, anti-codon, and T loops). The record is from RNAcentral.
GGCCCCAUCGUCUAACGGUCAGGACAUCAGGUUUUCAUCCUGAAAAUCGGAGUUCGAUUCUCCGUGGGGUCACCA